Molecule: ribosomal RNA, 139 nt
Filed under: Salmonella enterica subsp. enterica serovar Derby
Lineage: Bacteria; Pseudomonadati; Pseudomonadota; Gammaproteobacteria; Enterobacterales; Enterobacteriaceae
Also listed under: 10 other names
Description: partial 23S ribosomal RNA
Rfam family: Bacterial large subunit ribosomal RNA
Source: RNAcentral
GGUUAAGCGACUAAGCGUACACGGUGGAUGCCCUGGCAGUCAGAGGCGAUGAAGGGCGUGCUAAUCUGCGAUAAGCGCCGGUAAGGUGAUAUGAACCGUUAUAACCGGCGAUACCCGAAUGGGGAAACCCAGUGUGACU